This is a non-coding RNA of Cherax quadricarinatus, 1028 nucleotides long. The record is from RefSeq and is a predicted model, not a curated record. Lineage: Eukaryota; Metazoa; Arthropoda; Malacostraca; Decapoda; Parastacidae.
AACAUUCACUUCUUCCAUACUCCUCCUCCCCAAUUUGAUAUCCAAUUUUUCUUUAUCUAAAUCAUUUGACACCCUCAUCACCUUACUCUUUUCUAUGUUCACUUUCAACUUUCUACCUUUACACACAUUCCCAAAACUCAUCCACUAACCUUUGCAAUUUUUCUUUAGAAUCUCCCAUAAGCACAGUAUCAUCAGCAAAAAGUAACUGUGUCAAUUCCCAUUUUGAAUUUGAUUCCCCAUAAUUUAAUCCCACCCCUCUCCCAAACACCCUAGCAUUUACUUCCUUUACAACCCCAUCUAUAAAUAUAUUAAACAACCAUGGUGACAUUACACAUCCCUGUCUAAGACCUACUUUUACCGGGAAGUAGUCUCCCUCUCUUCUACAUGUGCUCACUAAAAUAGCUGGAAAAGGCAUCUCAGGCACAGAUUAUUUCUGAUUUGGCCGUUUAGCACCCAAUCUUCAGGAAUACCAAAUACAAGUAUUCAAGUACUGUACUUGCAUAAGAUGCUGUUAUGUGUAUGCAUACCUAUAUCAUUUUGUUGGCUAAAUAAAUAAAUGGUUUGUCACUUGGUUUGUUUCAGGGCAAGUAGCAGCUUAGAUGCCACUCUACGUCAGUUGGGCUAUUCAGCAGCACAGAUUAACCAGUCAACAUUGAGCUCUUUGGUUAAUGUUGCUACUCCUCCCAUGCAUUCUUAUAAUACCAGACAGUCAAGCAAUUCACAUCAUGCAUCAAGUUAAUACAUUGAUGAAUGCUUGGGGUAGUGCUGUUGCGCCAGACAUCGUACCUCUCAUCUUUGCUACGGACCUUAUCACUUACCUAUCGCAAAUUAAAUACAUCUUUCAGCGGCAUAGCACUCUUGGCCAGUCUCAAGCUAAACGUAUUCGGACAACUUGAUGGUUAGAAGGAUUGUAGUGUAGGCUGUAAAUAAACCUCAUUAAUCAGAUAAUGAAGACAAACCCAAUAUAAGAAUUACAUUUAUUAUAUGAAAUUCUCAAGGUACUAUUGAUUAAUAAAUUAUUGUAGAAA